UCGAGGAUCUUCGGCAAUGGGCGCAAGCCUGACCGAGCGACGCCGCGUGCGGGAUGAAGGCCUUCGGGUUGUAAACCGCUGUCAGAGGGGAUGAAAUCACAGUGGGUUCUCCCAUUGUGUUGACAGAGCCUCAGAGGAAGCGCGGGCUAAGUUCGUGCCAGCAGCCGCGGUAAUACGAACUGCGCGAACGUUAUUCGGAAUCACUGGGCUUACAGGGUGCGUAGGCGGCGUGGAAAGUAGGGUGUGAAAUGCCUUGGCUCAACCAAGGCACAGCGCUCUAAACUACCGCGCUGGAGUGAGUCAGGGGUGCGCGGAACUUCCGGUGGAGCGGUGAAAUGUGUUGAUAUCGGAAGGAACACCGGUGGCGAAAGCGGCGCACUGGGGCUUAACUGACGCUGAGGCACGAAAGCCAGGGGAGCGAACGG
This 425-nucleotide ribosomal RNA is filed under the name uncultured bacterium. RNAcentral describes it as "bacterial SSU rRNA". It matches the Rfam family "Bacterial small subunit ribosomal RNA", at positions 355 to 775 of the family's 1533-position model. The record is from RNAcentral.